GGAGGAGAAGCUGCCCUGGACCGGGGGCGAGUACCGGUCGGCUGGGAUAAGGACUCAUCGGGACAGAAAACUUCUUCUGAAAGAGAGCCAAAGACUGAUUUUCAAAGUCCUCACCUGAAGAUUUAGAAGGAAAAGAUUGUCUAUGCCUAAAUGCUACUAAACUGAUGGAACAGCCUUUGUAAUUGUGAUCUCCAAAGUCAGAUGUAUGUAUCCCAGGGACUCUUCAAGACAGUCCACUGAUGAGCAGGAAAAAAAUAUAGAACUUCAUUAGUACAGGGACCCCAGAGCUGGAUGCAGUACUCCAAGUGGGGUCUUGCAGGAGCAGAGACAAGACUCCACCUGGGAAAACCAGAUUAUUCUUAAACCAGGAUCAAGGGAAGUUGGAAAGGAGCAAAUCCCUAUGUAAACAUCAAUAUCGUCAAUUAAUUAGGAAACACAGCAAGAUAAAUAAUAAGACCCCACGAAAG
Long non-coding RNA from Athene cunicularia (burrowing owl), 467 nucleotides. RefSeq lists it as uncharacterized. The record is from RefSeq and is a predicted model, not a curated record. The transcript is spliced from 5 exons. Lineage: Eukaryota; Metazoa; Chordata; Aves; Strigiformes; Strigidae.